GGCCUGUGUAAGAAGAUCUGGGAUAAAAUUUUAGUUAUAAAGAUUAAUGACUAACAAUAAGCACUGAAACGGGCCUAUGUUACAAAAGAGGCUACAAGCACAGUCCUACACAUAUCCAACAGGUUCGACCAUUCACAAUAAGAGGAAGGCCAGGAGUCACAACAACCUGAUAACAAGCAAAAGAUGGAUCUCAUAGUCCCAGUACAAGAGCCAAAAUAGAUAUGCCCCCAUUAUGGAAAAACCACGGUAGUAAACCCUACAACAAGCUGACAAAUGGAUGCUUAAGAUAUGGUAGUACUCAAUAUCGGAUCC
RNAcentral lists this long non-coding RNA (312 nucleotides) under Carica papaya (papaya). RNAcentral's name for it is "long non-coding RNA (CPAP_LNC008189)". Lineage: Eukaryota; Viridiplantae; Streptophyta; Magnoliopsida; Brassicales; Caricaceae. The record is from RNAcentral.